Molecule: ribosomal RNA, 1131 nt
Filed under: Aspergillus niger
Lineage: Eukaryota; Fungi; Ascomycota; Eurotiomycetes; Eurotiales; Aspergillaceae
Description: eukaryotic LSU rRNA
Rfam family: Eukaryotic large subunit ribosomal RNA (bases 538-1131)
Source: RNAcentral
GUAGGUGACCUGCGGAGGAUCAUUACCGAGUGCGGGUCCUUUGGGCCCAACCUCCCAUCCGUGUCUAUUGUACCCUGUUGCUUCGGCGGGCCCGCCGCUUGUCGGCCGCCGGGGGGGCGCCUCUGCCCCCCGGGCCCGUGCCCGCCGGAGACCCCAACACGAACACUGUCUGAAAGCGUGCAGUCUGAGUUGAUUGAAUGCAAUCAGUUAAAACUUUCAACAAUGGAUCUCUUGGUUCCGGCAUCGAUGAAGAACGCAGCGAAAUGCGAUAACUAAUGUGAAUUGCAGAAUUCAGUGAAUCAUCGAGUCUUUGAACGCACAUUGCGCCCCCUGGUAUUCCGGGGGGCAUGCCUGUCCGAGCGUCAUUGCUGCCCUCAAGCCCGGCUUGUGUGUUGGGUCGCCGUCCCCCUCUCCGGGGGGACGGGCCCGAAAGGCAGCGGCGGCACCGCGUCCGAUCCUCGAGCGUAUGGGGCUUUGUCACAUGCUCUGUAGGAUUGGCCGGCGCCUGCCGACGUUUUCCAACCAUUCUUUCCAGGUUGACCUCGGAUCAGGUAGGGAUACCCGCUGAACUUAAGCAUAUCAAUAAGCGGAGGAAAAGAAACCAACCGGGAUUGCCUCAGUAACGGCGAGUGAAGCGGCAAGAGCUCAAAUUUGAAAGCUGGCUCCUUCGGAGUCCGCAUUGUAAUUUGCAGAGGAUGCUUUGGGUGCGGCCCCCGUCUAAGUGCCCUGGAACGGGCCGUCAGAGAGGGUGAGAAUCCCGUCUUGGGCGGGGUGUCCGUGCCCGUGUAAAGCUCCUUCGACGAGUCGAGUUGUUUGGGAAUGCAGCUCUAAAUGGGUGGUAAAUUUCAUCUAAAGCUAAAUACUGGCCGGAGACCGAUAGCGCACAAGUAGAGUGAUCGAAAGAUGAAAAGCACUUUGAAAAGAGAGUUAAACAGCACGUGAAAUUGUUGAAAGGGAAGCGCUUGCGACCAGACUCGCCCGCGGGGUUCAGCCGGCAUUCGUGCCGGUGUACUUCCCCGUGGGCGGGCCAGCGUCGGUUUGGGCGGCCGGUCAAAGGCCCCUGGAAUGUAGUGCCCUCCGGGGCACCUUAUAGCCAGGGGUGCAAUGCGGCCAGCCUGGACCGAGGAACGC